RNAcentral lists this transfer RNA (73 nucleotides) under Candidatus Komeilibacteria bacterium CG10_big_fil_rev_8_21_14_0_10_41_13. RNAcentral's name for it is "tRNA-Cys". It matches the Rfam family "tRNA". Rfam says of the family: Transfer RNA (tRNA) molecules are approximately 80 nucleotides in length. Their secondary structure includes four short double-helical elements and three loops (D, anti-codon, and T loops). The record is from RNAcentral. Lineage: Bacteria; Candidatus Komeiliibacteriota.
GGUGGUGUAGCCAAGCGGCUAAGGCAGAGGUCUGCAAAACCUUCAUUCACGGGUUCGAUCCCCGUCGCCACCU